UUUAGAGGCUAGGUUGUCGCUUACAUAUUUUUACUAUGUAAGAGGAAAGUCCGGGCUCCAUAAAGUUGACACCGGUUAAUGACCGGGAGGGAUUUCCCUACAGAAAGUGCCACAGAAAUUAGACCGCUGGAUAUCCAGUAAGGGUGAAAGGGUGGGGUAAGAGCCCACCGGCAUUGGGGUAACCCAGUGUGCUGGUAAACCUUGUCAGGAGCAAGAUCAAGCAGUCAGGAAGAGUUUUGUAUUCAAAAUGCCUGGCGGGUAGAUUGCUAUAGUUCAUGGGUAACUAUGAAUUGAGAUAGAUGACAAUCUGAAACAGAACCCGGCUUACUAGCCUUUUUUUAGA
Molecule: non-coding RNA, 343 nt
Organism: Spirochaeta sp.
Lineage: Bacteria; Pseudomonadati; Spirochaetota; Spirochaetia; Spirochaetales; Spirochaetaceae
Source: Rfam